UGAAAAAGGAGGUCACCUUAAUGCAGUUGGAAGUAUAAGCACUUACGAACAUUCUCGACGCAUGGCUAAAAGGUUGGGGAGACAACCACUCAUGAUCGAGUUGGUUAAAGAAACUAGGACAAAAAAAUCGGGUGAUUUAGUUGACGAGCGUACUCGAAAAGCUUUGGAGGAUUAUCAAACAAAGCUUGUGGAUUUUUUGGUCGCUAAUCCCAAAUAUACUCCUAGAGAAGGAGAGCCGCUUCAUCCAGAUGUUGAUUU
This is a long non-coding RNA of Vicia villosa (hairy vetch), 258 nucleotides long. RefSeq lists it as uncharacterized. The record is from RefSeq and is a predicted model, not a curated record. The transcript is spliced from 3 exons. Lineage: Eukaryota; Viridiplantae; Streptophyta; Magnoliopsida; Fabales; Fabaceae.